RNAcentral lists this long non-coding RNA (1629 nucleotides) under Coturnix japonica (Japanese quail). RNAcentral describes it as "lncRNA (ENSCJPG00005015953.1)". Lineage: Eukaryota; Metazoa; Chordata; Aves; Galliformes; Phasianidae. The record is from RNAcentral.
UCUCUUAGUGCAGAGAACUAAACUGCAACAACAGAAGAUGAUCGGUGGGUAAGUACAUAGGUAAGUAUGAGAGCAACCUAGGGAACGAACUGUGACUCCAAGCUGUUAUUUGAUCACUUGUUAUUUGUUGAUUUUAGGAGUAAAUUUCUGUAACUUGAGUCAGCCCUUUGCCAAGCAGAGAUCACUGCUUUCUAUUCAGCAGUUCAGUGAGUCUGGGUAGAGGCCUGAGAGAUACAUGAUAAAACAACAUAGUCUAUUCAUUUCUCAUCAAUUUACCCUCUCUUAUGGUGAGUUUUCAGACUGAUUUCCCAGGUAGGGAUGCAAGAGUGAGCAAUGAUUGUGCAGCCAUAGAAUGGAUCUGGCAGUGUUUCUUUUCUCUCUCUCUCCACAGAGUACUCAGCCUAUCAAAUUAUACUUCAUUAUGCAGUCACACUGUGUGGGCUGUGGCCAAAGAGCUUUCUUUCCAGCAGAGGUCCCUUGAAUGAUGAGACCUCACAAGGAGCAUGCUUGUGAUCAACAGAUCACUUUAUAGAUUCGCACACUUGGUACACCACAGACCCAUCUGACCUGUUUCCCAACCAGGGCAGAAUGAUGCACUGGAGAAGUUUGAUUUGGAGCCAGCUGUGUGGAGUCUUACUCUUAUUAUUGCUGAAGUAGUUUUGGUAAAGAAGAGGCUGAUUUGCUGGUUCACUGAAGCACUCCUACACUGUGUGGGACCUGGCAAGGGGCACAAAUCCUGGCAACCCCGCUCUAUGACAUUUCCAAUGGCUUUGCUGAAUGUGAGUGUAAGAAGGAGGUUGCAGCUACGGUGUCCACUCAGAUGCAAAAUUAUCAACACAAUGAACAGUUUUAGACUCUACAUAACCCUUCACGAGUUCACCUUGGUACCGGUGCUCUCCAACAUCUUUACUGAUGACAUAGACAGUGGGAUCAAGUGUAUCCUCAGCAAGUUUGCCCAUGACACUACACAUAGUGGUACAAUUGAUACACCGGAAGGAAGAAAUGUCAUCCAAAGGAACAGUAACAGGCUUGAAAAUUAGGCACACAUGAACCUAAUGAAAUUCAAUAAGGCCAAGUGUAAGGUGCUGCAUUCCUGUUGGGACAGUCUGGGAUAUGUAUACAGACCAACAGAAGAACAUAUUGAGAGCUGCCCUGCAGAGAAGGACAAGUGGGAUCCUGGUAGAUGAAAAGCUGGACAUAAACCAGCAGUGUGUGCUUGAAGCCCAGAAGGCCAACAGUAUCCUGAGCUGCAUCAAAAGAAGGAUGGCCAACAGGGAGAAGAAGGUAAGUGUCCCCCAGUAUUCUGCCCUUGUGAGGCUCCAUCUGAAGUACUGCAUCUAGGUCUGGGAUACCCGGUACAAGAAGGAUGGAGCUGUUGGAACAGAUCCAGAGAAAGGCCACAAAGAUAAUCAGAGGGCUGGAGUACCUCUCUUACAAAAAAGGUUGAGAAAGCUGGGCUUGGUCAGCUUGUGGAAGGGAAAGCUCCAAGGAAAGCUUGUUUCAGACUUCUAGUACUUAAAGGGAGCUCACAAGCAGGAGGGAGACCAACUUUUUACAUGGUGAUACUGAUAGGACAAGGGGGAAAAGUUUUAAAAUAAAAUGAGGGAUUUAGGUUAGAUGUUAGUGGGA